GGAAGAACAGAAAAUUGGAGGGCAAGAGAAGUUAAGUUCCAUCCUUGUUUACCUGUCUACAGUGUCCUCAGUACAUUGGUCAAGGCUGGAUAGUCAGUAGAACUGAAGAGGCCAUUAGGUUAUUUAAAGAAGGGUAAUGCAGUAGCUGCCUUUACUGAUCACAGUCAGACAACCAGCUAGAAAAAUGGCAGUUUGAAUCCUGGCACACAGAGAUGACCACACCAAAAUGACUAUCCCAGCUUCCCAACCUUGGCCUUGGCAGUAUGUAAAUUAUUUCCACUCCAGGUCAUCACUAUGAUCAAGGGAGGAGGUGGAAUAUUGGAGGCCUAGCAGCCAUAG
Molecule: long non-coding RNA, 339 nt
Filed under: Mustela putorius furo (domestic ferret)
Lineage: Eukaryota; Metazoa; Chordata; Mammalia; Carnivora; Mustelidae
Description: lncRNA (ENSMPUG00000031394.1)
Source: RNAcentral